CCUACGGGAGGCAGCAGUGGGGAAUAUUGGGCAAUGGGCGCAAGCCUGACCCAGCAACGCCGCGUGAAGGAAGAAGGCUUUCGGGUUGUAAACUUCUUUUCUGAGGGACGAAGAAAGUGACGGUACCUCAGGAAUAAGCCACGGCUACCUACGUGCCAGCAGCCGCAGUAAUACGUAGGUGGCAAGCGUUAUCCGGAUUUAUUGGGUGUAAAGGGCGUGUAGGCGGGAAAUCAAGUCAGAUGUGAAAACUCAGGGCUCAACCCUGAGCCUGCAUUUGAAACUGUUUUUCUUGAGUGCUGGGGAGGCAAUCGGAAUUCCGGGUGUAGCGGUGAAAUGCGUGAAUAUACGGAGGAACACCAGUGGCGAAGGCGGAUUGCUGGACAGUAACUGACGCUGAGGCGCGAAAGCGUGGGGAGCAAACAGGAUUAGAUACCCGGGUGUC
Molecule: ribosomal RNA, 442 nt
Filed under: uncultured bacterium
Lineage: Bacteria
Description: partial 16S ribosomal RNA
Rfam family: Bacterial small subunit ribosomal RNA
Source: RNAcentral